UACAGAGGUCUCAAGCGUUGUUCGGAUUCAUUGGGCGUAAAGGGUGCGUAGGCGGCGCGGUAAGUCGGGUGUGAAAUCUCGGGGCUUAACUCCGAAACUGCAUACGAUACUGCCGUGCUUGAGGACUGGAGAGGAGACUGGAAUUUGCGGUGUAGCGGUGAAAUGCGUAGAUAUCGUAAGGAAGACCAGUGGCGAAGGCGGGUCUCUGGACAGUUCCUGACGCUGAGGCACGAAGGUCAGGGGAGCAAACGGG
Molecule: ribosomal RNA, 253 nt
Filed under: uncultured bacterium
Lineage: Bacteria
Description: partial 16S ribosomal RNA
Rfam family: Bacterial small subunit ribosomal RNA
Source: RNAcentral